Molecule: long non-coding RNA, 3312 nt
Filed under: Ananas comosus (pineapple)
Lineage: Eukaryota; Viridiplantae; Streptophyta; Magnoliopsida; Poales; Bromeliaceae
Description: long non-coding RNA (ACOM_LNC028366)
Source: RNAcentral
UAGAGAGAGAGAGAGAGAGAGUUGAGUUAAAAUGCUAUCAGCGGCAAACAGGCCUUAUUGCCAUACAUUUAUUUUCGAUGAUAAAGUCUCCAAAUUGACGAUCAGCACCAGUUGAAUAUGAUCUAUGCCACUUAAAGUAUUUAGAAAUCAAAUUUCAAAUUGUUUCGACAUCAUUAGCCUAAUAAUCAAAAGGUUGCAAAUUUUGUUAUUUUAAUGGUCGAUAUGAGACAUUUUUUUGUUUAACGGCGUAAAGAUAUUCAAAUCAAUUGAAUUUUGGUUAAAAUUUUUUUUGAACUAUUUAAAACGAGAUCUAUACUUUUGAUUUUUACUACAAACUCAUAUUAUCACUUUUUUAAAUAAAAUUCAUUUUCAGCCGUUCAUUUUUGUAUCCACUUAAUAGAUAAGAGAACAAUAUCGAAAAAGUAUGAAAUUUGAUUUCUAAAUGCUUCAAGUGGCGUAGAUCGUGUUCAAUGAUGUCGAUCGUUGAUUUGGAGGCUUCAUCAUCAAGAACAAGUGAAUGACAACGGAGCUCAUUUGCGACCGAUAGCAUUGUAGCUUAACUCUAUAUAUAUGUAGUUAAGCUCUUGUGUGCUUUUAAAAAUACAGAAGUAUUUGUACUUGUGACUUUUAGCCGUUAGAUUAUCUCAAAAUUCNAAGGGAAACUGCUUCCUGCAUUCCCGUCCAACUAUCACUUCAUCCAGCUCACCACCCACUUCAAAAUAAUUAAAAACAUAAAGAAAAAAAACAAAAGUCAAAAAAAGAAAAAGAAAAAGAAAAAGCAACUCCCACUUCCCAUACAAAUCCGAUCCAAGGCCACCACGAAGUGCGACAUCAUGGAACUUAUAUUAUACCGCUGUGUCCUUUUUUAGCGGAUCCAUGAUCAAUCCAACGGUGGGAAUUGCUCCAUCAGUGUCCCCAAAAGCACCUCCCCUCCAAAUCCAAAGUAUACAUUCUAAAAUAGGAAAAGAAAAAAAAAAAAACAAAAAAGUAUAAAGAUGGGCCAUUUUUCUACUUUAUGGCCGUUUUAUUCGCACCAGUUCAAAACAGCAACAAAUUGGUGAUGGGUUUGAUAAAGAUGAAAACAAAGUUGGAAAACAGAGAAGCAAUGUGAAUAGUGGGAAGCACAAAUAAAAACAAAAAUUAUUCAUCACAUCGAUCUAAUGAUGUGACAAGUAAAAAAAUUUUAUUAAUUACAUGAGCAAGAUAUAUAAUAGAAUAAACUUCAAAUAUCAUCACCCAUGUGGUUUCAUAUUUUUUCAUUUUAGUAUCAUAUGAUUUAAGGUAUAUCAAUUUAAUGUCAUGUGGUUUCAUUUUUAUCUUUUCGUCAGAUCCUCCGUUAAUAUUUUAUUAAAUUAUAUACAAAAUAUUUCAGAUAACCCUCCUAGAUUUAUCGAAUAUUCACUUUAAUGUCUUUUAGUUUUAACUUUAUCACUGAUUUAACAAAAAAAUUAGUAAAGAAAAUAAUAAAAAAAAUGAAACCAUGGUGUAAUAAAUUGAUAUAUUUUAAACCACAGGGUACUAAAAUAAAAGGUGUGAAAUCACAGAAGUUGUAUUUGAAGUUUUUUUCAUAUAAUAUACAUUCCUUUUAGGUUGUAUGAAUAGUAUUAUUUUUUUUUAAUCCUAAAAUAUAUAUCUAGUUGGGGUUCUUCUCCCACAUUACAAAUUGGUUUCUGUACUCAUUAUUUUAAUUUUGGCUGCAAAUUUUUUCUUUUUGGUUCUACUUUAGUUUUAAACUAAAGUAAAUCAAGUAUUUUACAAAUUUAAUUAAAAGUGCAAUAAAUGUUGAAGUUCAGAAACUAAAUUAAUUAUUUUAAAUUAAAAGAACAAAGCCCAAUUUGCAAUGUGGGGAAGUACAAGGGCUAUCUCUACAUUAAUUUACCUGUAUUUAAUUUUUAUAGAUCUUAAUGUAUUAUACCAUAAAGAAUACAAAGAGGAUCCGAAGAAUGUAUCAUUGUAGGGUGUUGCACAGAUCCCAUCAUGUGUGCGGUUUGGUUUCCUACUUUUGGACCAUUUCCACUUAUUUUAUAUAUAUAGAGAAAGAGAGAGAGAGAGAGAGUUGAGUUGAAAUGCUAUCAGCGGCAAACAGGUCUUAUUGCCAUACAUUUAUUUUCGAUGAUAAAGUCUCCAAAUUGACGACCAGCACCAGUUGAAUAUGAUCUAUGCCACUUGAAGUAUUUAGAAAUCAAAUUUCAAAUUGUUUCGACAUCAUUAGCCUAAUAAUCAAAAGGUUGCAAAUUUUUUUAUUUUAAUGGUCGAUAUGAGACAUUUUUUCGUUUAACGGCGUAAAGAUAUUCAAAUCAAUUGAAUUUUGGUUAAAAAUUUUUUUGAACUAUUUAAAACGAGAUCUAUACUUUUGAUUUUUACUACAAACUCAUAUUAUCACUUUUUAAAUAAUAUUCAUUUUCAGCCGUUCAUUUUUGUAUCCACUUAAUGAACAAGAGAACAAUAUGGAAAAAGUAUGAAAUUUGAUUUCUAAAUGCUUCAAGUGGCGUAGAUCGUGUUCAAUGAUGUCGAUCGUCGAUUUGGAGGCUUCAUCAUCAAGAACAAGUGAAUGGCAACGGAGCUCAUUUGCGACCGAUAGCAUUGUAGCUUAACUCUAUAUAUAUGUAGUUAAGCUCUUGUGUGCUUUUAAAAAUACAGAAGUAUUUGUACUUGUGACUUUUAGCCGUUAGAUUAUCUCAAAAUUCGUGCAGCAUUAUUAACGAUAUGUUCCGUUAAAUCCUCUUUAUUAGUAUUGUAUAGAUCUUAAGGUGAUCCGACGACAAAAAUCAUAAACACAAAUAUUUCUAUGCUUUUAAAGUACAGGAGCUCAACAAUCAAUAUAUAUAUAUAUAUAUAUAUAUAUAUAUAGAGAGAGAGAGAGAGAGAGAGAGAGAGAGAGAGAGAGAGAGAGAGAGAGAGAGGCUCCUAUUCAUUCGAAAGUACGGAGGCAUCCGUGCUGGUAAGUUGUUUUCGAUGAUGGAACAUUGGAUUCGAUCUUGAUUAACAGUGUAAAGAUAUCAAAAUCAAUUAAAUUUUGAUUACAAAAUUCUUUAAACUAUAUAGAACAAGAUCUAUGCUUUCGAUUUUGAUUAAAAGAUUUUUAUUAUCAUUUUUUAGAAAAAUAUUUAUUUUCAACCGUUCAUUUUAUGUCCACUUGACGUACAAUAAAACAAUAUCGAAAAAGUAUGAAAUUUGAUUUCUAAAUACUUCAAGUGGUAUAGAUUAUAUUCAGCAGUGUCGAUCGUCGAUUGGAAGGUUCCAUCAUUGAAAACAAAUGGGUGGCAACGGAACCCGUUUGCUACCUAUAGCAUUCUAGCUUAACUAUAUAUA